AUACAGAUUAGUUAAUUUAAUAUUGCCUACUGUUAGGGGCUAGGAAUCUGUUACCGACAAGUGACGUUAUCGACGGAGCAGAAAAUAUAUUGAUAUACAUUUGUUAGAUGUUUCAAAUGAAUAAUAAUAAUAAUAUACAGAAUACCAUUGAGCCAUCUGGUGUUAAAGAAGAAAGUAAUUAUCAUUGAAAAGUCGCCAUUUAUUGGUAAAGACAAAACGAAACCUCAAUCUGAUUAAAAAAUUGAUGCAAAAAUCUAUUUAAAAAAAAAUAUUUUUUAAAGUAUCAUCAUUACUUAAAAUGCCUACAUCAUGUAGUGUAUAUGGUUGUAGUAAUAGAUUUUCUAAAGAGAAAAAGAUUCAAUUUUUUACUUUUCCAUUCAAGAAUAAGCAUAGACUCGAAGCAUGGAUAAAAGCGGUUCAUAGGAAAGAUUGGGAGCCUUCUAAGGCAAGUAGAAUAUGUAGUGAGCAUUUCAAGCCGCAGGAUUUCUUGCAUCGUCCUGGUACAGCUUUGUAUCCAUAUAUAAGACGGUUAAAGCACGAUGCCAUUCCAUCUGUAUUUUCAAACUAUCCUGAAAGUUUGGAAUUGAACGAGUCUAAAUUAAGAAAUGAAAAAUUCUCAACGUCUGUUAUAAAUGUAUCGGAGUGUUCUAAUGAACCGGGGCAAAGUUUCCAAGAUGCGCUAGUAUAUUCUAACGAAUUAAACGAAUUAACAUUAGAAGUAGAAGACAUCGAAGAACAAAUGGAAGAAGAUUAUAGAUAUUCAAAGAAAGAUGUAUUAAUCGACAAGUUGCAACGUCAAAUUUUUGUAUUAAAGCGACAAGUGAUUAGAAAAGAUAAAAAGAUAGAGCGUAUGAAAGCAUUGAUAUUAUAUUUACAGAAAAAAAGAUUGGAUGAUUCUCGUUGGAAUUCUCUAAGAUAUAAUAAGAUGUACUUAUUUAGUCAUCAAAGUCGUCCCAAGUCUGCUGCUGCAGCACGGAUAAAUUAAUAUUAUAUUAAAACAAUCUAUUUUAUGAAUCACACGCAUAAUCUUGAAUUCAUUGCUAUUAACCACGUGGAUACGUUUUGGAUAAGAAUUCAGUUGAAAUGAAAAUUUCUUCUAUUGUUAGAAUUAUGUAGGUCAACAAUAUUUAGACAUUACAAAAUUUCCUAUAUGAAAUCAAAGAAAUGUUGUUUAUACGCCAUCUGCUUGUCAGCGGCGCCACUAAUGCGGCGCCACUUCUCUGCUAUACGUGGCUCAAUUGUUGAAGAGGUUACUUUAUUGUCGUCAUCGAUUUAUCUAGGAUGUUCGAUUGAAAACAAUCGAGAGUUGGUUUUUCCGUUCGUGUUUUUAAGUCGGAAAACUAUUUAUCAUUAUUAAUUGUUAAUAAUAAUUGAAUUUAUCUAACUAAUGUUUUCUCUUUAACGCUAAAACAUUCGUUGUUACACUCUUUGUGGCGCCACUGAGUUGCUUUGCCAAAGUAUUUAGUGGUCUAGUGUGGCGCGGUAAUGUUACUUCUAAAGAACACAACAUGGAAGAUAUUAAUAAUAUAAACACUGAAGAAUUUAUCUCAGAAAUAGAAGCACGUCCAGCUAUUUGGGAAUUAUCCAGCGACGAUUAUACCAAUAAAGUUACUAAGAAGAACGCUUGGGAAGAAGUUAUUACAAAAUUUUGUCCUGAAUUUGAAAGAACAUCUAGCCCUGAGAGAAAUAAUAUUGCCUUACGUUUUCAGAGAAAGUGGAAAAGUUUGCGAGACUGUUAUUCUAGAGAA
This 1748-nucleotide unclassified non-coding RNA is filed under the name Polistes fuscatus (common paper wasp). RNAcentral describes it as "uncharacterized LOC122513715, transcript variant X1". The record is from RNAcentral. Lineage: Eukaryota; Metazoa; Arthropoda; Insecta; Hymenoptera; Vespidae.